GAGAGUUUGAUCCUGGCUCAGAACGAACGCUGGCGGCGCGUUUUAAGCAUGCAAGUCGAGCGGCAAGGGUACUUCGGUACUCCUAGAGCGGCGGACGGGUGAGUAACACGUGGAUAACCUGCCCCCGGGUGCGGGAUAGCCCAGGGAAGCCUGGAUUAAUACCUCGUAAGACCACGCUCUGCAGGGAGAGUGGGAAAAGGCGCUUCGGCGUCGCCUGGGGAUGGGUCCGCGUCCCAUUAGCUAGAUGGUAGGGUAAGAGCCUACCAUGGCGACGAUGGGUAGCCGGCCUGAGAGGGUGAACGGCCACACUGGAACUGAGACACGGUCCAGACUCCUACGGGAGGCAGCAGCUAAGAAUCUUCCGCAAUGGGCGCAAGCCUGACGGAGCGACGCCGCGUGGGCGAGGAAGGCCGCAAGGUUGUAAAGUCCUUUUCGGGAAGGGGAAUAAGAGUGAUAGGCAAUGAUCACUUGAUGACAUGAAUCCCGGAAUAAGCCCCGGCUAACUACGUGCCAGCAGCCGCGGUAACACGUAGGGGGCGAGCGUUGUUCGGAAUCAUUGGGCGUAAAGGGCGCGCAGGCGGCGUGUAAAGUCUGGCGUGGAAGUCCCCGGCUCAACUGGGGGAUUGCGUUGGAAACUGGCACGCUUGAGUACGACAGGGGAUGGCGGAAUUCCAGGUGUAGGGGUGAAAUCUGUAGAUAUCUGGAGGAACACCAACGGCGAAGGCAGCCAUCUGGAUCAGUACUGACGCUGAGGCGCGAAGGUGCGGGGAGCAAACAGGUUUAGAUACCCUGGUAGUCCGCACAGUAAACGAUGUGCACUAGGUGUCGGGCAGUCAAUGUUCGGUACCGCAGCAAACGCGUUAAGUGCACCGCCUGGGGAGUAUGCCCGCAAGGGUGAAACUCAAAGGAAUUGACGGGGGCCUGCACAAGCGGUGGAGCAUGUGGUUUAAUUCGAUGAUACGCGAGAAACCUUACCAGGACUUGACAUGGACAGGAAUGGUCGUGAAAGCGAUCAGCUUUUCGGAGUCUGUUCACAGGUGCUGCAUGGCUGUCGUCAGCUCGUGCUGUGAAGUGUUGGGUUAAGUCCCGCAACGAGCGCAACCCCUGCUGUCUGUUGCUACCAAGUAAAGUUGGGCACUCAGACGGGACCGCCGGUGACAAACCGGAGGAAGGUGGGGACGACGUCAAGUCAUCAUGGCCCUUAUGUCCUGGGCUACACACGUGCUACAAUGGCCGGUACAGAGCGCAGCGAAGCCGAGAGGCCAAGCGAAUCGCAAAAAGCCGGUCCCAGUACGGAUUGGAGUCUGCAACUCGACUCCAUGAAGUUGGAAUCGCUAGUAAUCGCGCAUCAGCAUGGCGCGAUGAAUCCGUUCCCAGGCCUUGUACACACCGCCCGUCACAUCACCCGAGUCGGGGGUACCCGAAGUAGUUAGCCUAACCCUUUGGAAGGCGGCUCCGAAGGUAUGUCUGGUGAGGGGGACGAAGUMGUAACAAGG
Molecule: ribosomal RNA, 1496 nt
Filed under: uncultured bacterium
Lineage: Bacteria
Description: bacterial SSU rRNA
Rfam family: Bacterial small subunit ribosomal RNA
Source: RNAcentral